RNAcentral lists this ribosomal RNA (508 nucleotides) under uncultured Massilia sp. Its description in RNAcentral is "bacterial SSU rRNA". It matches the Rfam family "Bacterial small subunit ribosomal RNA", at positions 7 to 507 of the family's 1533-position model. Lineage: Bacteria; Pseudomonadati; Pseudomonadota; Betaproteobacteria; Burkholderiales; Oxalobacteraceae. The record is from RNAcentral.
GAGAGUUUGAGUCCUGGCGUCAGAUUGAACGCUGCGGCGACUGCUUUACUACAUGCAAGUCGAACGGCAGCGCGGGGCGAACCUGGCGGCGAGUGGCGAACGGGUGAGUAAUAUAUCGGAACGUACCAAGAGUGGGGGAGUAACGUAGCGAAGUUAACGCUAAUACCGCAUACGGUCUAAGGAUGAAAGCAGGGGAUCUUCGGACCUUGUGCUCCUAGAGCGGCCGAUAUCUGAUUAGCUAGUUGGUGAGGUAAAGGCUCACCAAGGCCACGAUCAGUAGCUGGUCUGAGAGGACGACCAGCCACACUGGAACCGAGACACGGUCCAGACUCCUACGGGAGGCAGCAGUGGGGAAUUUUGGACAAUGGGCGAAAGCCUGAUCCAGCAAUGCCGCGUGAGUGAAGAAGGCCUUCGGGUUGUAAAGCUCUUUUGUCAGGGAAGAAACGGUGAAGGCUAAUAUCCUUCGCUAAUGACGGUACCUGAAGAAUAAGCACCGGCUAACUACGUG